This 206-nucleotide ribosomal RNA is filed under the name uncultured bacterium. RNAcentral describes it as "partial 16S ribosomal RNA". It matches the Rfam family "Bacterial small subunit ribosomal RNA", at positions 568 to 774 of the family's 1533-position model. The record is from RNAcentral.
UGCGUAGGCGGUCUUUCAAGUCAGAAGUGAAAGGCUACGGCUCAACCGUAGUAAGCUUUUGAAACUGUAAGACUUGAGUGCAGGAGAGGAGAGUGGAAUUCCUAGUGUAGCGGUGAAAUGCGUAGAUAUUAGGAGGAACACCAGUUGCGAAGGCGGCUCUCUGGACUGUAACUGACGCUGAGGCACGAAAGCGUGGGGAGCAAACA